RNAcentral lists this ribosomal RNA (245 nucleotides) under uncultured bacterium. RNAcentral's name for it is "partial 16S ribosomal RNA". It matches the Rfam family "Bacterial small subunit ribosomal RNA", at positions 524 to 768 of the family's 1533-position model. The record is from RNAcentral.
UACGGAGGAUCCAAGCGUUAUCCGGAUUUAUUGGGUUUAAAGGGUGCGUAGGCGGUCAUUUAAGUCAGGGGUGAAAGACGGCAGCUCAACUGUCGCAGUGCCUUUGAUACUGAGUGACUAGAAUAUACCUGAGGUAGGCGGAAUGUGACAAGUAGCGGUGAAAUGCAUAGAUAUGUCACAGAACACCGAUUGCGGAGGCAGCUUACUAAAGUAUGAUUGACGCUGAGGCACGAAAGCGUGGGGAU